Molecule: long non-coding RNA, 22724 nt
Organism: Gallus gallus (chicken)
Lineage: Eukaryota; Metazoa; Chordata; Aves; Galliformes; Phasianidae
Exons: 2
Source: RefSeq, a predicted model, not a curated record
GAGGGGGACGAGCCAUAAGGCGAGCAGCAGGAGCGGUGCUGCUGGAGAACAGUUCGCCCCAUUGAGGAGGGGGCAGGAGCUGAAUUGGGAAUGGAGAAAUGACCCCAGCGGGAGCACGAGGAGACUGCAGGUGAAACGCAAAACUUUGGGAGCUGUCUGGCCAGGAUGAGAGGUGUCAAUUCUCAUACGCUGCAGGAGGAGAGGAUGGGCAGAGCAGAGGCCCCCGCACGCAGCCAGGGUAGCUGGGUAACCACAGUGGUAAGGAACCUAUACUGGCUCCCUUUCCUUCAGGAAAUAAAACUGCUUUAUAUUGAAAGACUGCAUAUUUAUACUGCAAGUUUCUGUAAAGCACCGAAGCCAUCUCUGACAGACUUUUAAAGUGUAUUUCUUUAGCAAACAUAUUGGAUAAAUCUUUAGGAAUUUCUAAGGUUUGAAGCCUGGGAAGGGCAAAUAAAUUUUUCUGGAAGGUUGCUGAUCACUGAUCUCAUAAAAUGGCUGCUCUGUCUGGCCUUUCCAGACAGAGAAAACCAGGCAGGGAUAAGAUGCACUAAGAGGAUGAAUUAAAAAAACAUCCCUUUGGAAUACAAGCAGUACUGAUGCAGGGAUUUGCUCUCUCCAGACAGUGACCUGAAGCCAAGAUAGCACAGAAGAGACACAUUGAGGUGUUUUUUCUCUUUUCCCUCAUCUGUCACUUCAGGAGACCUCAUCUCCAAAACAGUCCAGGCACCAGGAAUACUGUACACAGAUCUCAGCACGACUUCCAGCUGGGCAUGGAAUCCAACCACAAACUGAAUAAGCAAUUUUUCUAUUUGAUCAGCAGCAAGGGACAUCAUAUUUUGUUCCAGUGCCAGAGACAUUUGAAUUUAAAUAGAAAUAUGUCAGCAAUACCUUAGGUACAUUCAUAGCAUUAUAGAAGAUCACAGAAUCAUUAAGGUUGGAAAAGGUCUUUAAGAAAUCUAGUCCAACUGUCCACCUACCACCACCAUUACCCACUAAACCAUGUCCUUAAGUACUACUACAUCUACCCUUCCCUUAAAUACCUCCAGAGAUGGUGACUCCACCACUUCUCUGGGCAGUCUGUUCUGAAUUCUUUUGCUGCAUCCCUUCCUGAGUGCUGUGCCUGCCUUCAAUUGUAACUAGUUCAGAGCAAGGAAAAAAAAUCUUGCCAAAUAACUCCAAGAAAAAAAAAAAAUCAAACAGUUAAAAAGUGAAGGUUCAUCUAGUGUUUUUGCCCCUUGGUAUGUCUGGGAUGAACACAGAUAAAUCUGUCCUUGGGCCUGAGCUUUCACAAGAGUUGGGACUUCUAAUAUUGCUGGCCUGUCCUUCCUGCUAACUACUUUCUGCACAGAAUAAAAUGAGUGCAUCAGAGUGGGAGCAAUUGUUACCUGCCAUGUCGCUUGUGACCAGAUCUAGUUUUUGUGGUGUCUCCUUCUCAUUAUUAUAGCUAAUGGUAAAUUCAGUUGACUGAUGUCUGGUGAAGGGCUGCUUGAUCUGUUUCCAACAACCUAUGAUAAAGAAAUAAGAAUAGAAGAUGUCAGAAAGUUAAAUGCUUAAAAUUAGAAGGCUUAUCAGAAUGUUAAGUUAAUUUAGUGUACUGAUUGCUGUCAAUAUACUUAACUACUUAGAAAGGAAGAUUAAAACAGGCUGUUAAAAAAAAAAAAACAACAACAAACCCCACAAAAACAAGGAAUCUCUGAGAUUCUCCAAGUAGAAACUAAGCCAUAGGGAAGGUUUUCUUCUUUGUUUUUCUUGGAAAGAAUGGCUUAAGUUAUAUCUUAAGGCCUAUUGGUAAAAUAUAAGCUUUAAGUCAGCAACAAUUUUUGCCACCAUUUUUGUAGCAAUGAUAGUGCUUGCAAUUUCUUUUCUUUGAAUUUUUCUUUCAGUAGCUGAGUAUAGCUUCCAUGUCCUUGGUUAUGUGAGCACCUGCACUUAUUUGUUCUCACAACAUCCCUGUGAGACAGAAGAGAGAAAAUCCAGUGUCAGUUCCUUCUCUGGCACCUGUAACAUGUGGUCUGUUGAAAGGUGGGUUCAACUCUCAGCUUGCUAAGUCCCAAACCUGGUUAGAUUCAGAGUCAUUAAGGAUGGAAAAGACUACUAAGAUCACAUAGUCCAACUGUCAGCCCAACCCCCAUCAUGCCCCUAAAUGCCACACGUGCACAUUUCUUGAAUACCUCCAGGGACAGUGACUCCACCAUCUCCCUGGCCAGCCUGUUCCAAUGCAUCACCGCUCCUUCUGAGAAGAAAUUUGUCCUGAUAUCCAAACUGAACCUCCCCUGGUGCAACUUGAGGCCAUUCCCUCUUGUCCUGUCACUGUUACCUGGGAGAAGAGGCCGAGCUCCACCUCACUAUAGCCUCCUUCCAGGUGGUGGUAGAGAGCAAUAUCAUCUCCCCUGAGCCUCCUCCAAGAUAAUUAAUUGUUCCCUCAACUGCUCCUUAGGUGUUCCAGACCGCUUACCAGCUUUGUUGCCUUUGUCUGGAUGCACACUGGGGUCUCAGUGUCUUCCUGGUAGUGAGGAGCCCAAAACUGAAUGCACUACUCAAGGUGCAGCCUCACAAGUACUGAGUACACAGGGACAAACAACUCACUGCUCCUGCUGGCUGCACUAUUUCUGAUACAAGCCAGGGUGUCAUUGGCCUUCUUGGCUACCUGGGCACACUGCUGGUUCAUGUUCAGCUGGCUUUCAGCUAACAGCCCCAGGUCCUUUUCCUCUGUGCAGCCCCCCAGCCACUGUCCCAAACCUGUAGUGUUGCACAGGGUUUUUGUGCAGGACCCAGCGCUUGGUCUUGUAGAGGCUUACACAACUGGCCUUGAGCCACCAAUCCAGCCUGUCCAGAUCCCCCUGCAGGGCCUUCCUACUUUCAAGCAGGUCAGCAUUUCUUCUGAACUUAGUGUCAUCUUUAAACUUAUUGAGGGUUCACAGUGUUUAGAAGCUUAAUUUGUGAAGCAUACACUACAAAUGAACAGAGUGGAUAAGAGGCUAUCUCCAAUUUCAUGGGAUUUGUCCUCAUUAGCAAGUGAGAAAGGAUUUUGAUGUGACCUUGAAAAAUCAUAUUAGCAACUAUGAUGUUGAGUACAAAUUAAUUUUCUAAUGAGGGUGAGCUGAAAUGGGUAACAAAGUUCCUUUCCCUGAUGCCAGCACCUGCUGAGGGAUGAAAUUUUGGAGCUGAGCUGUUGCAAGAGACGUGUGAAUUAGUGAUUUCUUUUUAAUGGAAAGCUGAGUUUCAGAAGACUAUUCCUCUGCAGAAUUAGCAAGCCAGGAAAAAGCAGCUGAGCUCCAACUUCCAGGCUGAGAGGAGGCUGCUCUAGAAAGCAUAAUUAAGCACAAGAAGGUAUGUUACUGCACCAGGGUUUGCCGGCAUCUUCUACAGCAGAGACCUCAAGGCAAUCCUCUAUUCUGAUUUUACAUGUGAAGUACAAUUCAGUUUUGUUAGGCUUUAUUAAUAUAGUCUCAAUUAGGGAGGGCAGCAAAAUGGAGACACUGAAGCCAUAAAAAAAUAGCAUUUGCUGUCUUGGAGAAUGGCAAUCCUCUCUGCUGUGGGGGAAAAAAAAAAGGAAAGUAGCAAUUUUCUGCAAAAUAGGUGUUUUGGAGGAGGGAAGGAAAGGAAAGGCACCUGGGAGCAUUCUUACAUGAUCAUUUAUGAAUUUGGUGUAAUAGAUCUUUUGCUAAUUGCCUUUCUGUCAUAGAAACCAAAUUACUUUGUUUCUCUGGGCACUGUGCUGGGAUGACACAAGUGGGACUAUCGUUUGCCAUUUCCCUUGUAUGAAAUAGUGCAUUUGAAUGAGGAAACAUGGCUGCUCUUUCACACGUAGUGCAGAAAAUCCUGCCCAUUGGCCCAGGUGACAGGACAGCACAAAGCCCACCAUUCUCCACUAACCUGAUUUCUGAGCAUUGGAUAAUCCAUAAGAAAGUCCUUUGGCUUCUUGCCUGUGAGGAGAGGAAAGCAUUUAUAAACUUCUGCGCUCAUAGCAUUUCAUCGUCUUCACUCCUUCACUUCAGCAGAGAGUCUACGUGUUUAGCAGCUGAAAACAACUGCUCCCUUUUAGCUCCUGGAGGACACAUUUAUCAGACUGUAAGGCACACAAACCCGUAUUUCCACACUCGGUUGUUUCCCCAUCUGUGUGCAUGUUCUGAGUGCCGCUGUGCGAAUUCCUUCUGUCUGAAGGAAUUCCUUCAUGGACUUGAUGUGUGCAUGUCGUUAUAUGUCACUCUAGGUAAUGUUUUGGGCCUGUUCUUCUGAACCUUUAAGGAUUUUACUGGAAAUCCAGGGCGGAGGCAAGUACUGCUCAUGAUGAAACAAGAUCACCAGAGCUUUGUUUAUGCUUCUAGAUCCCUGGAUGCUGAUAGAUGCAUUUUCCUGUUCAUUCAAGGGCAAGCUCACAGGAAUGGACACCUACUUCGACCCAAAGUUAGCAAUGCUUCUUCCAAUUCUGACUUGUGAAAUAGAGUGGCUUAGUUUUAUCUACUUAACAAUGUAUGUGUGUAACUCCUUAUAGAUGAGGUGUGACUUUAGUCCGUGUCUUUAAUUGCCCUAAGUGGUGAGGAAGCAGAAAGACAACAGGAGGGAAAUGAAAUAAAAUGCUUCAGAUAGCUCAAAUGUUUCCUUCCCUGAAUUUUUGCUCAGCUUUGGUGUGCAAACUGUUCCAUCUUCAACUGCAUUACAUUUUCACAUUUGUGGGUAUGUGUAGGCUGAACAGAGCAGCCGGUUGCACUGGACUGCAAAUUGGGGUGUGUGGUUCUGAACCUGCUUCACCUUUGUUUUCCUCUGACUAGGGGAUGAUUAAGACAGACAAUUUACAGCAGCACGAGUUCUAUUUGGAAGGAAGACUUAAAAAAAGAUCAUCUAUUUCCAGUUUCCUGAUAAAGAGACUCUGGAAAGAGGGCACAUAUUUGAUUGUGCCAGCUAGGAUGCCACAAAUAUCUCCCAUGACAAAAGACAGUAUCUUACUUUCGUAGGGCUGCACAGAUACAAAUUCCAGAGAACAGGAACAGACACAGCACUAUGAGGACUGGGACAAUUAUAGCUGUAAGCUUUAAGCCUGCAUGGAAAAAAUAAAUGGAUAAAAGUUAAAAAGGCAGAUUACUCUGAAGACGGAUAUCUAUUCCUACAGAUGAUCUUGCAGGAACACUCCUCGUGGGAGAGCAUGAAAAUAGAAAACUAUACAACAGCAGAACUGCUCCUCAGCCAUACGCAGCUGCUUGCCGUGUACACGAGUGGAACGGUGUUGAGAAAUACUCUCGGUCUCAAGGCGGACGCUUGGCACAGUGUCUAUAAGCAUCCUUACACUGAGCAGUUUUCUUAUUACAUACUGGGUAACUUUUUAUAAAAAGCCACUUACAGCAAUGCUGUUUUCAGUUACUUUUGAAGCGCUAAAUGAAGCUGCAAUUUUCCAUGCUGAGUAUCUGGCUCCUGCUGAUCUGGCUGAAGCAUUUUAGUGAAAAUAAUUCAAAGAUUUCCAAGAUUUGAGCUAAGGAAGAAUGUUUUGCCUGGGUUAAAAAUGAUUUAGAACCGGGAUUUGGAAAUUAGCCAUGAGGUGGCUUUUGUGUCAGGGGCAUGCAUUUCACUAUUCCUGCAGACACUUUGAGAGUAAGGUAGUGCACAUGUCCAUGGGAUAUUUACAAUUUAGCAGAUAAAAUUUCAAAAUAUUUCAUUUUCAGUGAAGAUGGAUACAAUUUACCCAUACCACUGCACAGAUGAACAGAGUUUGCUCUUGGCAAGAAUAAUGCAGUUUCAGAAUAAUUUAUUAUUGUUUUUUUUUUUUUAAAUAAUGAUCACUUCUUAGAAACUCUUUGUUCACAGAGACAGUGCUACAGCUAUCAGCUCCCCAGCAGGUAGCAGUGUUUGGUGUGAUGGGUCCAUCAUUCCUGCCUGGCUAUGGAUCCGCCAGUCAGGUAGUAUAUACUACAAAUUUUAUUUGUUCGCUUUUUUAAGAUCUGAGAAUUUACCUCCACUUAAAGGAUGAAGAUUGCAAAUUAAGGCAUUGAGGGAGAAGUAUGAGAAUUAAGGUUGUCCGAAGCCCCAUGAACGUAAGUAUUAUGAAAAAAAUGUUUAAUUACACAAUCAUGCACUACAGUAUAUUGCUUAGUGCUGGGGAUCUGCUCUGAGAGGAGUUGUGGUUGCUUAGAGGGGAGGUAAUGCUUUUGUGAGACCACUGCUCCAUGUAUUACAAAAGUUAGGAAAUAGAGGGAGAGGGUGAGGAAGAAAAGAGCUCUUCCAAAAAUGCUACUGAUGCUCGGGGCGGUCAGUUGAGCCUACAAAGCAUGGCAAAUAACCAAUAUGUCAGGGAGAAGAAAGCCUGGUGUUACACCCAUCAAGAAAAAUUAAGGCUUUCAAUUUCUUUCUGUGCCUCAAGACAAAAAGAAGCCAAGCUCCUCCCUCCUCUCUCUGUAGCUAACCUUUAAAAAUGUCUGAAGGGAAAACAAAAGUUCUGAUUUGUGAGAAAGUUUACUCAGGCUGGGGUGAAGAUGUGAUGUAUCAUAGAAAAAAAUCAGUGAUCAGCAGUGUUACCUAAAUUGGUUUCUUCUGAUGGGAUGGGCUCUGUAACAGUUCUGUCUUCUUUUCCAAGGGAGGUUUCUGUGCUCUGACUUGUUUUUUGCCACAUUGAAUGUGUAAAUGAACUAUUCACUGCAAAAGAGAGCGGGGAAUGAGUUAUUCUGUGGUGACACAGCACUCCUUUGGAGCACCGUGCCUUGGAAGCACUGCUUACCCCAUACCUUGCAUUAUUCGACAACCAAUCAGCUCAAGCUUCAAUGCUAUCCGUUGGUUCCAAGACUGAGGAAUAAUUCGCACGUAACGGGCCACUAUUGGGGGGAUGAAAUUAUUACGUACGAUGUCACCAGAGUCGGAGUUGCCUUGGAAUACCUGCAACAAAACAAAAAUUGUGUUAUUUGCUGCGUUUCAAGAAUCUGCUUCUCAAAAGUGCUCCUGACUUCCAACUUCAAAUAUUUUUACUAUCCGAAAACUAAUGUAUCAGUCAUCUGGGACAUAGCCACAAGAUUCUGGGAAAUGGGAGCUCUGAAAAGAAUCAGUCUUUUUAAUUCUGGUAGACGAUUACCUUUCACUGUUAGCUUAGAGGGGAAAGAUUAUCAUUCUGUUUCUAUUCUCUGUGAUUUCUAGUUAAGGUAUGCUGGUAUAAUGCAACACUUUUGACUUAGUAGUGCUGCAAGGCCCUUAAUUGUGCAACAGGGAAUAUAAGUAUAAAAAGAAAAAUAACCCAACCAAAGCACUUAUUUAUUUAUUUAAAGUGAAAUAUUUCCAAGCAUUUAAGAAAAAAUGACCAUUAACCCUGCAGCUGCAUGUCCUUUGUUCUGUACUUCUUUGCCAGGAUCAGAUCAGCCUGUGUACAGAACAGGUAACCCUUGCAAUAUUAGUUCUUGGAGAUGCUUCAGCGUGGCCUAGGAGAAUGUAUGAGCCCAAUUAGAUGAGAAAGUGAGCUCAACAUAUCUGAGAUAAGACACCAGGCUACACAGAGUUCAGAUAGGACAAGUUUUGUCAUGUUUUUUGGUUGAAACAGAUUAUAUCUAGUAAUAUUUUCAUAGGAUUAUUUGUAAAUAACAAAUAACUGUGGAAAACUGCAAACCAGAAGAUUUUAAGUGGCUAGCCUUCACAAAAUUCACCUGUUAUGAAACUGAGUUUUUACUUCUUGGGACAACAUCCCCUAUGUCUAGCAUUUAGCAUUUAAAAAGCUUAAAGCAAUUAACACUGUGAAAUUCCUUUCUGUACAAGCUGAGGAAAUGGAAAUCACAGCCAGAAGGAAAUCUUUCCCCACGUCUAACAAGUUUUUAAAACCAUAGUCAAGACAGCACCAGGUAGAGCAUUACCAAGCUCCCUCAUAAAGGAUUAGUGAAGAUGAUCUAACUAAGAACGCUGUGGGAGCAGAAAGGCUUUUGUAUUUCCGUUUAAAAGGAAACAAGGGUUUUUCCCAGAAAAAUGUUAGCACACAAACUUGUGCAGCACACCCUUUGCCUGCAGGAGCCGGCUGCGCUGCUUUUAUCAGAUCAUUGUUGAGUUCAGAAUUUAUGAUAGCUGUUGUGCGGACAAUUGUGGGAUUUCUUUUGUUUCUUUAAGAGCAUUUACUUUAAGUGCAGAUACAUUGAUUCCUAACAGACUUGGGCAGUCAGAAGGGUCAUGCCAGUGUGGUGUUGGAAGUGGUGCAGUCCCUAGAAUGUUGUCCAAAGAGGAGCUCAGUCUGCAAGCGUAGAUAAGCAGCACUGAUAUUUAGCUGAGCUAAAUACUUCUCCAAAUAGCCUCUUGUACAGCUUUUUUUAAUCACCCUUUUUCAUACAAAUAGUAUAUGCACAUGCACAAGCCUCCGUAUGUAUAUCUCACAACUUCAGAAAGCCCUGGAUAUCUCCCUUGUUUCAACAAGCUCGCUAUCUACGCCACAGCUGUAAAUUACGCUGGUGAAGACAACCCAAGUCUGGACAAGUCUGAAGCUCCUGAUCUUUCUUGUCAGUGAAAGUCUGUCCUUCAAUGUCAAGGCAGCACAUAGAUUUUUUUCUCUGUGCUUUGCUACCACUCCCAGUUUCCCUUACCUUUUCUUCAUUGCUUAGAAUUCCUCUGUAUGUUCUCCAUUUCGAGUUGUUAUUUCUGUAGUUCAAUAUAAACGUCUUUACAUAGAAAUUAAAAUUCUGCAGAGUGGAUCCAGAACCAGUGGUUUUGAUCCCUUUGAAUGAAAUGCAGAAUAUAUUUUCAUAUUAGGUUUCUUUUUUCAAUGUGAGAUUUUCAAAUGCAAAUACACAGCACAACCAAUUCAGAGACCUUUGUGUUUGAAGCCUUAAAUUAUUUUUCAAACCAUGUAUGGAAUUCAAGAGUGGCCACUGAGUUUAAAUGUGGGGUCAAGAACAGAAAUCAGCGUUAAGCUGUGAAUUUCAAAGAGCUUUAAGCAUAGCCUAAGUUAAUGACUCCAGAAAUGCUAAUUGCUUUUUAAUAUUAUGGUCCACAUCCGCAGUCUGAAAAUAUAUAAAAAUAACAUUUCUCAAUACAGAAUAUUUACUUACAUUCAAUGAAAGAGAGGUUUAAUUAGUGCACUAUUAACUUUUCAACCGCAUUUAGUUUCUUUCUCCAGUGGAAAGCCCAGCUGCUAAUAAUCAGAGCACUUUACCUGUUAUUCUCUUCUUCUCUCCCAAGUCUAUCUCCAACCAUUCACGACUACUGCUGUGGUUAGAGGCCCAAGCCAGUCCCAGGACUUGAAGCCACGCCUUGUCAGGAGUCCACUGGAAUAGCUGUCCAAAUUCAUUGGUCUCCUCCCAGUAGGAAGAUGCAGUGAUCUGGCUCUUGGAGAGGAAUCCCUCUUCCAGACUGAGAGAUCUAUUGCAGCCUAGGAGUCCCAACACAGACACGCGUAAGCAGUUAUUUUGCAUUUUAACAGUCUAUUUUCAUAUUAGGCAGACAACAUAUGAAGACCAUUCACAACAGCCAAGCCAGACACUGCCUAAUCUGGUGCUAACCUGAUGCUAUCCGUUAGUGUUUGCCAGUCAAUUUAUAGUGGAUAAUCCAGUACCAGAAUGCUGCAGUCCCUCUCCUUCACAAGUUGGCUCCUACAUACACGCUUUCUGACUACUGGAUCUGUUAUUUUUAAUUUGUCAUUUUGGUUUUCAAUCUCUGCAGUAUUGUUUUGUUUAUGUGAAGACUUCUUAUAUUUUAUUUUUCUCCUUCUGAAUCAUAAUAUUUAUGUUUAGAGUUUGGCAUUAAUUAAUUUCGCUGUACAAAACAUUUCUAAAAUGAAGGCACUUUACUGGAAGGAAUGCUUUACUGUAAAUAUUUCAUGUUUUUUACCUGCAAUUAGAGCUAGGAAAGUUCCUCAUUAAUGAAACUCCUUGAUACCACUGCCAAGAGGUGAUAUCAUGAAGGUAAUAGCUUCAGGUAAGCAUUACAAAAUCCACCAAAGAACCCACAAAAUAUCUGCACAUCAAGGUUCUUCAGAGAGAACAGGCCAGUGCAAUAUGGUUUCAAUGAGUUAAAAAUAAUUUCCUGACAAUUACAAAGGCCUCUACGUGUUCUGAAGUUUUCAGUGAAUAGUAAGUGAUUUUAUCUAAGAUGACUGAAAUAUAAUUCAAAUGAAUGAGCAUGAACUUUUUCCCCUGCUUUUAUAUGUUUUAUGCAAAUUAACAGCUCGACAGAUUAAAGACAUUCUGCAUCUUUGAAAGUCAUAAACAAAAGCUAGUUCUGUAUAAGUUCAGUGUAAAUAUACCUCCAUCCCUCUGUAUGUUUUAGUUCUUGUAUAAUGAAGAUGGAACUUAUAAGUGUCUGAAGAAAAACUGCUUUCAUUUUCUGCCACCUAAAGUACAUAAAAAUGGAAUUAUCUGAUUGCCAUUUUUUCAUAUGCUAGCACCAGAAACGUAAUAUCAAGAAUGCUAUUCCUGUUUCUCAUCUAUGUGCAGACGACUUAUUCCUAUUCUGUUUUUUUUCCAGCUCACUUCACCUCCCUUCUAUUUUUUAUUCAACCUGCCAAUUUAAAAAAAAAUAACUGUCCUAAAAUACCUUUUCUAGACACAGCCUAAUGUUCUUCUGACUGCUUUUCAAAAGUUUUGAGGAAAUACUUAAAUAAACAGGCAAAAAUAAGGCCAUUAUUCUUACCAUUUGAAGUAAACAUAAACCGCUUAUCUGACAGCGAACCACUGUAAGAAAAAAAAGGUAAUUCAGCCUUUGAGGAAACAGCCAUAGGAAUGCUAAGAAAUGGGUGGCUUUGGUGCUGUACAGAAUAACUUUUUAUUCAGCAAAGUAUCUCUGGCCAGGUAACUGUUUGCAGUGCUUUGGACUAUCUAUCCCUCUGAGCACUCUCGUGCCUGCCAUGCUGUGACAGAAUCCAGUGCAGUUCUAGCGGCUUACAGCAUUUGCUCUGACCUAGGAUGACUGCCCAUCUCCCCACCCUGUAACUCUUUCCGUGCACUUUUGCUUCGCUCCUCUGCACAGGAUCUUAAACACCGCUGCAAAAUCUUCUGCCUCCCGGUCCUCAGACCAGCAAAAUCAAAGCAUGCUGAAGAAGCCAGGAAAGCACUGCUCCAGCAUAAGGCCAGGUUCUUCUCACGUCAGUUUAAAUUAGAGGAACUUUACUGAAAUCAGUGAAUUUCUAUUGGUGUAAGCCCACACUGAUAUAAAUUCACAUUGGUGUAAAUUCUCAUUGGUGUAAGACCACACAGGUGUAAGAAAAUUGCCUUAGGACCAGUGAAAGAGUUAUGCAUGACUAUGACUAAUGCACAUUAGCUCCGGCCAUUCCUUUUGGCUAAAUGUGCCUCAGUCAGGCAAUGAAAACUGCCCAUUGCUUUAAUCUGGCUCAGAUUAAACAGAUUACAUUCAGAUUAACAGUUUGGUUCUGUUAUAACCACAUUCAACAGGUCUUCUUAGGAGUUCUUCUUUUUGCUCUGUUAACACAUCUGUGGUUUUCCUAUUCUUCCCUGUACCACGGGCUACUUCUGGAGAAAAAACAUUUCUUGGGCCACCCUCCACAACCCUGCACAACACAGAACAUCACCCAAUGACUAUAGCAUGGAAAACUGUGCUCUCAGCCUCCUCAUGGAGUCACUUUCCCUUCUGAUUCUCACUGAGAUCCCAAAAUGAUUCCUUCAGUUGUCUUCACAACAAAAAUAGAAGCUUGGGUUUCAACUUGAAAUUCAGAUUUUCUGAAAAUCUUGCCCCUUCUGUGCUGCUCCAUGUGGCCUCAUGCAUCAGGUGCCCCUCUGAAAGCUCUUGGUCAGUGUGAUUGAGUGGAGUACUCCAGCACUGAGCCAGCUCCAUCAGGCUGCCCUUUGCUGUCAGCCAGGAACAUUUCAGGUUGCCCAGAGAGGUGAUAGGUGUCCCAUCCACGGAGACAUUUGAGGCCAGACUGGCUAAGGUUCUGAGCAGCCUGAUCUAGCUGUAGAUGUCCCUGUUCAUUGCGAGGGAGCUGGACUAGAUGGUCUUUCAGGGUCCCUUUCAAUUCAAAUAAUUCUAUGAUUUCCUCAGAGGUUACCCUAUAGAGUCUAACAGCCUACAGCCUGGGAGCGGUGCAUGCAGCCAUAUGGUUUUUAAGUGCUGCAAAUCAGGAAGUGGAAAGCGGUCUGGUGUCAAGGUCAAUAAGAACACUGCUUCUUUUUGUUACUGAGGGAAAGCCAAUGCCUGCAGGCAAAAGAGGCCCUUUGGGGUGAGGGAGAGCACUGGGAGGGAGCAGAUCUAUUUGGGCACGUAGGCUGUGGAGUCACUGGGAUGAUAAAUUCAGCCCCUCCCUCCCACAUCCUCCCUGAGGCGAUCCUCAUGGGCCAUCAGAUGUGUUCUGCUUGCUUCCAGCCAGCUCGGAACCACAGCCAAAACCAUUUUUGCUUGCUUAGGGAACACAAAACAAUGCGCUUCAAGAGAAGAAAAGAAAAACUGACUGUGAUCAGUAAAACCUACUCAAAACAGAAGCAUUUCUCGAAUAUGUAUUUAUGUGCUAUCCCUCUGUAAUAAAAAAAAAUCACUGAGCUCCCUUUCAAACUACAGGACUGCAAUUUUAGCAACCAGAGGGAGGAAGUUAGGCACUUCUAAUACCUGUAAAGCUAUAAAAUUGGGCUGAAAUAUUUCUGCAAUAAUUCUGCAAGUCACUGAAGAAGACAAACUAAUUCACUAAGUGGCAAUUCAUCAGUUUCAUAAUGUGACAGGUGGCAUUUGUCAUACAAAUUUCACUUUGUCCUCUAAGGGAUGGCAUCAUCUCAUGCUCUUCGUUUUCCUGCUUAGCCAGCAGCACCGCUGUCAGGACUGCAUGGCAGACCUGUGCUGGUGCCUCUGAGAAAAAAAAGAAAAGAAUGCUGCUUCACAUUAUAAACUUAUGUAAACCUCAAAUCCUUUAUUCCAGCAUCUGUCCCAAGGAAGCUUUUUAUAAGCAGCACAGGUUAACCUAAAUCUCAUAUUCAUAGUUCACAGGCAUGCGGGCUCUUCCAUUUUCACAGGCAAAUGACUUCACAUGUGCAGAUGUACAGUUACAGGCCUCGACAGGCAGCUCACAUUACAAAGUUAAACCCCAUAUAUUUGUCCUCAGGUAGCAGAAAUGCUCAGUAAAUCCCGCCACUUGAUAUUCAUUAUAUCAUUUGUGGGUUCAGGUCUGCACACGGGGCGUGAGAGUUAGCAAUCUCAUAGAUAACAGAGCAUAACAAGCUCGUUGAAAAAUGGAAUCGGGGAGGCCAAGGUCAGGUCUUAAGGGCUGGCAAGUGAACAAUUCAUAGCUCUGCUGGUACUUUAUAACAUAGAUAUUUAACAGCUCGGUGCACACAAGCAGCAGCUUUGACGAGGUCAGUUUCAGCUCAAGUCACUAAAUAAUUUAAAUCUUUAAUACCGAAAUCCGCUAUAAAUGAGAUUUUUAAAAACUCGAGUAAGCUUUCACUUAAGGCAGGAGAAGAAGCUGGUACAACACUGCUAUCCUCACACUUGUUUUUCCUUGCUGGUGCUGGCAAGGAAAAAACAUUCCUAGGAAUGUAUUGCAGUGCGGAGGUGUCCCAAGGACAGGGAAGCUGGGCAGCUUUGGGAAUACAUGUAGUAAAAACUUUUUUAAAGCAUGAUGUGCCCUUUUUCAUUUUCACAGUAAAUAGGCCAUCUGCUUCCAGGUACACAUUUCCAUGUUUUGAAAUAAAAUGAUGUCCCUGCAUCCCCCCCAGUUUACCUCCCUUGGAACAAUGAGGUCACAGCAGCAGUUCAUCUGCUCCAGGGACCGUCCCAGCCACCAGGGGCAGCAGCAGUAUUCCAAGAAUCGCUGUUCUCACCUUCCUGUGUUUCUACAAAUUACGCAUCUCACUUGUAGGCAUCUGAUACGCUAGGAGCCCAUGUACCUUUGUCUCUCUGUAUGAUCUGCAGAAAGCAUUGGUUGAUCUCUCAGGGCAAACCCAUUCCUUCGGGACAGCACUGUCCUUGAGGAGUACCUCUGUCCACCCGCAUGUGCGGAAGGUGAUGGCACUCCUCACUGGGGUGCUCUCUGUGGAGCCUCGCACUAACUGGGAUGAAUCCAAGCCAGGAGGCCUGUUUCAGCACAGGAGUACACACCUUGGCUCUUGUUUGAGUCAGUAGGAGUUCUGUCACUUGAUGUAACAGUUUUUUCCACCUCUGUGGGCACUUUGAUUACUCACACGAAGUAGAUAACUCAUUCUGAGUAGCAACAAUAAAAGGAUGCUUGGCAGUGAAGUUCAUGGGUUAAUUAUGCAAACAGUGUUUUCCCCCAGCACAUCUACAUUUGCUGUCUUCUACGCUUCAUUCGUUGCUCACUAACUCUUGUACUGUGAAAAAAUACAAGUGGGAAUCCCAGCUGUCUUUCAUUAUACCAUUUCAUGUGCUACUGUCUGAGUUACUCCUGAGAUUCUCAAGCAUACAAAUGUAUGUAAACGGUUCUACAACCUCUGUAGUUAAGGCACAAAAUAUUUAAUUUCUUAGGGUUUCAUAAGGCUGGCAUGUGUGAUGGAAAUAAUUUGUAUUGCUUGCUUUACGCAAAGGCUCACUGCUGAGCUGAGCCCUCAGUCCUGCUUUCCUUGAUACAAGAUCGUAUCAUUUUUCCAUAUAUUUUAGCUGUGAAGCAACAUACUUAAGAAAAAUAGAAAAUAUUUAGGCUUUAGAGGCCUUCUGCUAGUUGUCUGUAUGCUACUCACUUUGUAUUCAGCUACCCACAGUGCCGAUAUACAAAGACUUUCUACCUGUACCUAAGAUUAAGCACAGCUAUAGACAGAAUGAAUGCCUAUGUCUUCUGUUGGGUUCACAAAGUGAAUGUGGCCAGGGUCAUUGGGAACAAGGCUUAAAAAUUAAACAUUUGAUUACAUAUUUUGCUUAUCGCCUGCAGGAGUGAGAUGCAUAUACAGAUAGCUUAAAAUUAGCUUUGAUUUUGGUACCGGCAUGUUUCACAGUGAUUUCAUAAUUGGUCUGCUUGUUCUGCUUCACUAAGAGAAGGGAGAAGCCAAAUGUUUACAGAAUGGCUGAUAUGGCUCUGUAGGAUUUCUUGUUCCUUUUUUUUUUUUUAACAUAUGAAACAAUUAUUGUUAAAUUGUCGGGAGGACGACGAGCAAACAUGGGGGAAAUAGGAAAAAAUUGAAAAGUCAUAUUCCCUUGGCUCUUAUAGUCAAUGGGAGUGAGGAGAUUUUCCUUCCCAUAAGAACAAAUGCUUAUUGCAAAACCCAGAUAACAUUUAGAAAUUCAAAAUACGAACCAACAGAGAUGACAGAGGCAGUUGCUGGAAGGGCUUACUGCACUGGAUAGAGAUUAGAGGAUUUAUUUCUACUUCAACAACAGUGCAAUUAUAAAUCAGAAAAUAAGUGUUAAAUAUAACACCCUUGCCAUAAAUAUUCUAAAAGAGAAAAAUUCUGAACAUGUCAAAAGCACAAUGUUUAAGAAGGUAUUCACUAAAUCCCCUGUGGCUCAACGGCACUUUCUAUUUAUUUAUUAUUCCUAGGUGGUUUUUUUUUUCCACUUUAACAUGAAUUUAGCAUGAUUUAUUAGUACAUCUAUUUAAGAUGUUUGUUGCAGAACAUCAUACUUUCACGUAUCUGCUAAAAAACUAAUUUGCAAAUGUAUUUUGGAAGGAAAGGAAGAAAAGAGAGAGAAGAUACAGUCCUAAACUUUAUAAAGCCACAUAAACUAAAAACAUUUGCCUACAAUCUCUGCCAACACUAUGUUAAUAAAGCCAUAUAGACAAACCCACAAACCCCCAAAACCGGCAGCUGACACAUCCUUCCCCAAAAAGCACUGGUGUGGUGUCUCCCCUCCAUUUGAUGACCUGGCCAGUACACUGGGCUCUGGGACUGCACUCAGAGCCAGUGGUGGGUAAGUUAAGUUCCUUCCCAAAUCCCCGUGCCCCAGCAAUACUCACUCAUGUGAGGAAAUACCAUUGGCGACAACACCUUCAUAGCGGCUGAUACCCUUCUGCUGGGUGACACUGAUCUGACCGCCCAGUUCAUCUGCAAUAACACCUGCAUGUAUCGCUGACUUGCACAGCAGUGAGGUCUGAAAAGUAGAAGCCAUCAAAACCCCAAACUGAGAGGGCAAAUCUGACAAAGUGGUAGUGCUCUCACUUCCAAGCCACCGCUACAGAAGUGUUAGAGCUCAUAAAGUUCUGCAAAGGAAUGAGAGCAAUAGGGAGAGACUUAAAGAGAAAGAAUAGUUAUCUUUGAAAAAAAAUAUAUGCUUCCAAAAGUCAAGUUUUUCUCAAAUGAGGAAUGUAAUCAUCUGGUUCUAGGAAAAUGUGUUGAAGUUUUCACUUGAUAAAUAUUUGGCCCACCUCAGGAAAACAAAGGUAAAGGCAAAGCAACCACUCUUCUUUGCAAAGAGAAAACAAUAAUGGCUCUUGUGGACUUACCUGAAGCCAGACCUACCUGUUACUGCAUAGUGCCUUAAGAUUUGAGGCAUGGCAUGCAUUGGGAAAUGUGGCUGUUUGUCAUUCACAUGGGGCCAGCUUGGGCACCUCUAGCACCUGGCAAGCAGGGCUGUCUGCCUGCCCCUUCCAGGGAGGACUGAUGUGCUGGGAUUUUGGGGUAGUAGGCCUCCAGGGAGUCCUGGAGGUCUCUCCCAUCAGAAAAGCUGAAUCUGUGUUAAUGGUGGAGGGAAGAUUUCCUUCAAAAACUCCUCCACCUAGAUAACAUCUGCAUGAGGUCAUGUCGUUUGCUGCUUUUCUUUCCCAGUCACCCUGGACAGCAGGAAUAACUCCUAAUUAGAAUGCAAUGUGGCAUUUCUUUGUUUUUUCAGCUCUGCCAUUCUCCUGGAUGGGGUGGUGUGCUUGAGUAACUGGAUGAACAGGUUAUGCAUGGACUUUCUGGAGACUCAGCAACUGCUUUAUUUGUGAUACGGUGGGGUUUUACUUCAGUGGUAGGAUUAAUCUUCACUCCAAAAGAUGUCAAGAUUUCAGAGGCGUAGAGGGAGGUGAGACCAAGGUGAGGGGCACAGGAAAGGCAGGGCAAUGUGUGAUAGGAACCAUGGAUAAAUGUAAGUACUCAGGCAGCUUUGUUUUAAAGAGUGAACAGUUAAAAACCGAUCCAAAAGGUUUUUAGUUAUUGGUGGGAUGUGAUUGGACAGUGUAAAAUAUUAAUUUCAUCUCAGAGCAUGUUCCUGCAAUACUGAAGGCAGAAUCUUAAAGAAAACCCACAAGUAACAGAAAUGCAUUUUAUUCCUAUAAGAGAUAACAUUAGAAAAGAAAUGCACGUGGAUUUUAAACAAGUAUAACGUGAAUUUGUAGGAAUAUUUAGGACAUCGAAGAGCACUGCCUUUAGAAGGAGAAAUCCUAUGCAUCCGAAAGACCUGGAGUUGGUAGGUUAGUUUGACAAUCAGUGGACUUUGUUCUCACAUAACUGAUUAGUCUGUUUGAACAGUAUUUCAGUACCUGUUCGAUGUAUGCUGAUAACAUUAUAUACUGAUAGUAGAAUGUAACACAGCUGGGAAGAACUAUUUACAAAAGCCGAGCAGCAAAAACUGAAACCAAACUGUGCUAUGUAACGGAGCAAUGGAUUGUCUUUUCUGUUUUUAUUAAGUUCCUCUCUUUAUAUUGGGUACUUACAUCUCUGUAUCCUUCUUCUAUGUUCCCAGAAAUGUCACCUGCUAUGUCUCUGCAGCCAGCAGGACAGUAUCUGCUGUAGUAAAAGAAUAAGGCUUAUUUAAAACCUGGACUGUCAUGAUGAUACACAGAAACAAGCCCAUGCAAAAUAAAUACUCUCAGACCCAUAGAUAUUUCAGCAAUAUGUUCUGGCUGACUGUUCAUUAGUGAUUACAGAAGGUAAACAGAAGUGCCCUUGAGUGGACUGCACAUGGCAGCACACAAAGGACUGCAAUAGCAGUUCUUCAAGUGUAUUUUGUCCAAUCCUGUUGUUCUAGGAAUGUUAUUACUCAAGCUUUCAGCCCAGAUAAGAAGUCUGCAUGCACAUCCAAGCAAGUAACCAGCAAAGUACAAUUAAUUACCAUUUCAAAUCCUAUCGAGGAGCCCAGAAAUUAUAGCUUGUCCUCAGAUGAUCUUUUAUCAGCUGAGGCAUGAUCUGCUCUCAGGAGAUGCCAUAGUAUUCAAGGCUACUUUGAAUUUCAAAGUGGAAAUUCUUUUUACACAUACCAUAUGCAUACAUUCCCAAAUGAGGAUUGCUGAGAGCUCUGUAACAAUAUCCUCUUGUUUUCCUGGGCUGCAGAUUUCCAUUCUGCACUAGUGCUUCACACAACGAGGCCUGACGCUACUGCAGUAUUGUAGCUCAAAAACAUUUACUUUUCCAAAAAACUAAUACCGUACAUGUCUUAUGUGACAUUUUACGGCAGUUGGACCGGGUGACACAGAAAAGUAAGAAGCAGUGAAGAAAGAUAUAGACCUUCUUUACCUGUAUUCAGUCUUUGUGUAGUGGUUUGCUCGUUCCAGACAUGUGAUUAGGUCUGUGGAAAGUUUACAAAUGUCAAUCCAAGUUGCAAGACAGAAACGCAGAAAAAUGUUUGGUUAAACAUGAAAUUGUGUUUGAAGACUUCUCUGUAUAAUACUUAGAGAUAAAACAACAGCUAUGGUUUUCCCUCAUUCUUUUCAUCUCCCUCUUCUGCUCAUGUUUUACAUACUUUCAACAAAGAUGCAUAGGAACACACCCUACAGUAUUAAAUGUAGAUUUUGUCUCUUCACCUCUCUGAUCUCUUUAUCCUAUCACUGUGUGGUAAAAGCCCUGAAUACAGACGGUUCUCGUUUUCUGUUUCACUGAGCCUGUUCUGCAAAUUAUCUAGGUAAGAUUUCAGCAGCUUUUGUAUCUGCUUAAUAUUAUUAUUGCUUCUCACAUACAUGCUGUCAAAAAGAUGAUAUUUCAUGCCAAUAAGACACCUGAAAAUAUUUAGGACCAAAUAUAUGAGCCAAAGUCUGUGUGUAGAGAAGAUAAUGAAUUAGGGAGGACUAUGCUGUUUGUCCUUAGAUAAAGUGCUUUACCUGGAUGAUCACUGCUGGCAUAAGACAACAGAAAGCCUCGUCCUGAUACAUGGGAUCCACUCUCAAAGUGGAUAGUUGCUUCAUUGCUGUCCAGAAUGAUUUCUUUGGGGACAGGCAUCAUGUUGCCACAGUAGGGUCCUACAGACAGAAUGAAGAUUUCAGAGUUUAGAUGAGAUAGUUAGGCUGGAAUAUUCUCAUGAUAAACAAGGAAUUUCAUAACAUGCUCAUUCUCCUUCAGUACCAAUCCACAUGUUGACAAAAGGGUUGUAGCUUCAGUCCUUUAUGAGUAUGAGCUCCAAAGUUACUUUGACAAAGAAUGGCAAGAAUCCAAUUGUCCCUUCAUGGCAUGAUUUCUAGCAUUAACAUCUCUCAUCGCAUAAGCUUCAAGAAAAUGAUUAAUACUCUUCCACCUUUGAAGUAAAGUGUUCUUAAAUACAGCAGUAACCCAGGAGAGGAAAGAAUGGAAUGAAUGUUGAAAGGCAAUCCAAGGGAUCUACACAGGAUCUGCUAUAGCUGCUUCAGCAUAGCAGCUGUUCUGAAAAGCUUAGGAUCACAAACAGCACACCUGGUCUUAAAGGAUGUGUGUGCCACGUGUCAAGUUUAUGAGCAAGAACUACUUAGAAAAUUUCUGCAUUUAUUUGCGUUUUAAAAACAUCACCAGACCAUUGAAAUAUAUAAUUCAAAUUUCCUGAUUUUAAGACGAAGUAAAGAGGGACAGGAAGGGAGUAGGAAAAGGAGACACGAGUCUUGUGCCUGCACUGAAUUAGAUAAUGGUUUUAUAGCUACCAACUGCAGUAUCUUGGAGCACUCCUCAGGACACUCCUUUCUUGUCCCAGCAGGCACGUCCGGGACUCUCACAAUUACAUUUGCUUCUUCAGAAGUCACUUCCUGAGGGGAGCUUUCUUUUGAAACUGCCAUAGUCUUGCCUUCCAUCACCACACCUGGGUGCAAACACUUUUCUCUGCCUGCCCUCAAGCACAGAGGACACAGGAAAUCAAAAGCAGUUUAGAUACACUUUGAAUUUAAGGGGAUGCUUACAAUAUAAACUGCUAAUAAGAGGUUUUGUAAAAUGGCAAACACUUUCCUACUUAGAAGCCCUCAGACCAUCUAUUAUGUUGAGAAUUAUAACAGCUUUUGUAUAAUAAAGCAAGACCUUGGGAUGGAAAAUGAUCCCUUUGAUUUUUUCCAGAACAAUCUCAUUUUCUUGGUGGUGGAUACUUUAUGGUACCUUGGAACUGAGAUUACAAGAAAUUGCAAUCAAAGUACAGCACAAAUUUGAUGAGCCUUCUGAACAGGUGUCUAAAAGCCCCUUCAUUUUGUUUGAUACUCUUGAUAGGGGGGCCUUUCCCAAAUACUUAAUCAGCCUUAUAGCAGCUAGGAGAUCAUCCUGUAGAGUAGCCCAGUCAGAGGCAAUGACAGCCAGCUGUCAGCAGAAGGGGACAAAUUAAAGGACUUUGACUUGUAAAAUUAUAACAAAGCCAGGCAGGCAGAGAAACAAGCAACAAUUGUGACAUCUCCCUCGAGUACUCCUGUGUCGAAAAUGAGUCACGACUUAGUCAGAGAAAACAAUAUCUACAAAAAAGGUUAAACAAAUUGCUUAGGAAAUGAACUUAUCAAAAAGACAGCAUUUGACACUGUGUCAUAUCAGACAACUGCACGAGUGGUUUAUUUGAGAAGGUCUUUUGUGUCAGAAUGCAGUGGGAGAAGUGCUAACUUAGAACUUUAUUUUUCUUCCGAAGUACAGGAAGAGAGAAAGAGAGAAAGGGGAGAAGACAGGAAGGCGUUGUGCUUCUUCAAAUUGAAACACCUGAGAAAGCAUUAGUCCUUUUCUUGUCUCAAGGACUGACUGUAUUUUUUCUCACCAAUGCUCUUCUGCUUUUUCCCUGACAGCGAUUAGCAGUGACAUACCUACUCUGUAGGUAUAAUUUUGAUCUCUGACUCACUCAACCACACACUGGCUGGGUCAGGAUUAGCUGUCUCCUCCAGUAGCAAGUCUACAUGUGUUCGAGGUAAUUAUACAAACAAAUCACAUGACAUAAGUAAAAGUGAUAAAAUAAAAUAAGUCUAGACUCAUAGAGUUGUAUAAUAUGAAAGCCAAUAAUUCAGAAACAGAUUAAGAAAUCAGCACGCAAUGCCUGAAGACGAGUUUACACUUUUAAGUAAUAAAUCCAAUGAGGGUUACAAAUCUGUGGUUAUCUCCUACUUCUGUCAAGGGUAGUUCUGGUGUACCCAGAGACAAGUGUGUGGCCCUAAUCUAAGGAGAACUAGGAUCAAUUUAGUUUAUCAUAAAGGAUAUAAAAGCAAGAAACAGUAACCACUGAAAAAAUCAAUGCUUUCCAAAAUUGUAUGAAUUACCUAUCUGCAUAGAUUUAAAAAACAACAACAACAAAAAAGCAGAUAUUAAUACCAGAAAACAUUCACUUGUUCCCUCAUUGCAAACAGAUGAAGCCUUGCAAAGUAUUUCAACACAGUUCUUCCCAAUAAUUAAGGUAAUAUCAGCAAUACACAGCCAGGUCAUCAAACUUCCAUGAUAUCUAGUAAAGCUUAAUUGCAUGCAUGCCAUCAGAUACAGAAAUUUGCACCAAGAACUAUGGUUUAGAAAAGGGUACAAGCACCACCUCACAUCCCUACUGCUGUUAUUUGAUAUACUUUUUUUGCUUUUUUAUGUGAAAGAACUACAAGCAUGCGGCCAAGUUUUUGAAAAAGUGUCAUUCAUCUCUCUUCAGUGUUUAAUAGUGAGCAAUGCAAGCACACCUGAUUUACUGAGUAACAUAGUUUUCUGUUUAGCACCUAAACUCUCCAUUUUGCCUGGUUUUGCAGUGACCUUUUGACCUCUGAUUCUCAUUUUCCCUGCAAUCAAUUCAUUUUACAUCAACAGUCUUUCAAGAAAUUCCCCACGUGAAAAUUGGUAAUUCUUACUAAAUAAAAUGGAUUUGGGGUCAAGACAGCUCUUUAGGUUCAGUUUGGACUGAAUUCUCAGUUUGGAGAAUUUUAUGUUUCUGUUUUCUAAUUUCCUUCAGAAAAAUAAUGAGACUUUUAAACUAAACGCACUCUUUCCUAUGCACUUGCAGCACAGCAGCUCUCCAUUUGUUUCAAUAUUAUAAAUCUAGAGAAAUCAUACUCUUCCAGCCUUCUGACAUUUUGGUUCAUGCUGCGCCUGAGUGAGAUGCACAUUCUCUACACACAGUAGCACCCAGCAUAUUUGCUCUCCACUGACAUACCUAGUGUCCCUUUGAAUAUACACAUUAGGAGAUUUUAUAGACAUUAGUAGAUUAAAACCCACCAGCACCUGUAGCAAUCCUACUUAAACUGAAAGCUGUAUUUCCUAGGCAGUAUUUUCCACUUGCAAUCGAGGUGACAAGAUCAUGGAUCUUUAUCACCUACUUCUAAGACUCACAUACUCUCCCUCUUUUCUCUGAGUAUUCCACAUAGAAUCUGUUGACAGCCUGUCUACAUGAAUACUGAGCAACCUCAGUGGAGAAGAGGGAUGAAGGAGAAAUCUUUGGUUUGUGCCCAGUUUAAAAGGGAGAAACUCAUUUAAAGGUCUUGUUAACUUUUAUUGCAGCAUUUGGACUUGACUCUGGAUAAGCGUUUAAUUUCUAAACUUGGGACUAUGCCAGAAGUUUUUAAGAUUCCUUUUGAAAACUGCCAGAUCACUUUAUCAGAUUUUCAUCUUCUAAAGUUAGUUGUGAGGUGGGUUGCUUUGCAUACUCAGCUUGAAAAACAAGUCAUAAAUGCUGAUCUCCCUCCUCGCUUCCUCUUUCAGUGACUCUGCUGGAUGUCUGCUAGGGUAAGGAGAAGGCAGGGUUGUUUGGUUUGUUUACUAAGAACAAAGGAAUGAUUUUGAUUUAAUAAACAGAUGUGUUAUACGUCA